Molecule: long non-coding RNA, 438 nt
Organism: Mercenaria mercenaria
Lineage: Eukaryota; Metazoa; Mollusca; Bivalvia; Venerida; Veneridae
Exons: 3
Source: RefSeq, a predicted model, not a curated record
AGCAGAAAAGAUGAAAGUGUUUCUACAUUACGGUCCCUUUCAGAGAUGAAAUGGUGUUUACCACUCGGAAAAACCAGUGACUCCGUUGAUAGAUGGUCUUGCGUCAGCUGGGUUUACGGUGGUACCUGUGCAAGUUAAGAGCCGCGAUGCCUGUGAGCUACAUAUAGACAAGAAACGUGUUUGGAAAUGUAACAUCCAAGAGCUUUUUACAGUCACUGUGAAAAAGUCCUCAUUAAUCAGAGAUGCCAUAAGAGCCUGUGAAUCUGCGAAGAAAAUGUAGUUCUUCUUUCUGACUUUCUUGGACGUUUACAACUCCACAACGUCAUUUUAUAAUAGCACAGCAGUUCUUCAUUUCACAUUCCUAAGCCUAAAGGUUUAGAAAAGCUUUUUGGUGGAAUACGUUUUUCUGUUUUAUACGUGAUGAAGAAAACUGAAAUU